UGGGGAAUAUUGCACAAUGGGCGCAAGCCUGAUGCAGCCAUGCCGCGUGUAUGAAGAAGGCCUUCGGGUUGUAAAGUACUUUCAGUCGGGAGGAAGGUGGUAAGGUUAAUAACCUUAUCAAUUGACGUUACCGACAGAAGAAGCACCGGCUAACUCCGUGCCAGCAGCCGCGGUAAUACGGAGGGUGCAAGCGUUAAUCGGAAUUACUGGGCGUAAAGCGCACGCAGGCGGUUGAUUGAGUCAGAUGUGAAAUCCCCGGGCUUAACCCGGGAAUUGCAUCUGAUACUGGUCAGCUAGAGUCUUGUAGAGGGGGGUAGAAUUCCAUGUGUAGCGGUGAAAUGCGUAGAGAUGUGGAGGAAUACCGGUGGCGAAGGCGGCCCCCUGGACAAAGACUGACGCUCAGGUGCGAAAGCGUGGGGAGCAAAAAGG
RNAcentral lists this ribosomal RNA (429 nucleotides) under Chloroflexota bacterium. RNAcentral's name for it is "Chloroflexi bacterium partial 16S ribosomal RNA". It matches the Rfam family "Bacterial small subunit ribosomal RNA", at positions 355 to 776 of the family's 1533-position model. The record is from RNAcentral. Lineage: Bacteria; Bacillati; Chloroflexota.